GUGGGGAAUUUUCCACAAUGGGCGAAAGCCUGAUGGAGCAACGCCGCGUGUGUGAUGAAGGUCUUCGGAUCGUAAAGCACUUUCGACCGGGACGAAAAACCUCUGGCUAACAUCCAGGGGCCUGACGGUACCGGGAGAAGAAGCACCGGCUAACUCUGUGCCAGCAGCCGCGGUAAUACAGAGGGUGCAAGCGUUGUUCGGAAUUAUUGGGCGUAAAGCGCGUGUAGGCGGCUUGGCAAGUCAGAUGUGAAAGCCCAUGGCUUAACCAUGGAAGUGCGUCUGAAACUGCCGAGCUUGAGUGCCGGAGAGGAUGGCGGAAUUCCGCAAGUAGAGGUGAAAUUCGUAGAUAUGCGGAGGAACACCGGUGGCGAAGGCGGCCAUCUGGACGGCAACUGACGCUGAGACGCGAAAGCGUGGGGAGCAAACAGGAUUAGAAACCCUAGUAGUCC
Molecule: ribosomal RNA, 449 nt
Filed under: uncultured bacterium
Lineage: Bacteria
Description: bacterial SSU rRNA
Rfam family: Bacterial small subunit ribosomal RNA
Source: RNAcentral